Molecule: RNA transcript, 5220 nt
Organism: Zalophus californianus (California sea lion)
Lineage: Eukaryota; Metazoa; Chordata; Mammalia; Carnivora; Otariidae
Gene: NF2
Gene name: neurofibromin 2
Exons: 17
Source: RefSeq, a predicted model, not a curated record
GGGGCGGGGAGCAGGCCGGGGUCUGUGGGGAGGGGACGAUUCCCGCGGGCGCGCGGAGAGAGGACGGUGACAGCCACGCGCGCACGUGCGCGCCUGGCCGCAGCGCGGCCCCGAGACCUCCAUCGGCCGCUGAGAGGCGCGCGGGGGCUGGGCCGCUGCCGUCGAGGGGCCCCGUCCCGGGGCGUCCCCAGCGUCCCCGGCCCGAGUCCCUGAGCACAGGGCCGAGCCCACCACAUCGGUCCUGGCUAGUGUUUCGUCCCGGUGGCUGUAAGGGCCCGUCUCCCAACUCCCCUUUACGCUCCCGGGGCAGGGUCCUCACGGCCCAUGCUGGCCGCUGGGGGCCUGCGCCGACCAGACAGCUCCCAGGCCGGCCAGUUGGCUACCAUGGUGGCCCUGAGGCCUGUGCGGCUCCUCCAGGGGGGCUAACAGGUCCAGAGCGCAGGCCUCGGGGCACGAGGGUCCCGGGCCUGAGCCCCGCGCAAUGGCCGGGGCCAUCGCUUCCCGUAUGAGCUUCAGCUCGCUCAAGAGGAAGCAGCCCAAGACGUUCACCGUGCGGAUCGUCACCAUGGACGCCGAGAUGGAGUUCAACUGCGAGAUGAAGUGGAAAGGGAAGGACCUGUUUGACUUGGUGUGCCGGACCCUGGGGCUUCGGGAAACUUGGUUCUUUGGACUGCAGUACACAAUCAAGGACACCGUGGCCUGGCUCAAAAUGGACAAGAAGGUGCUGGAUCAUGAUGUUUCAAAGGAAGAGCCAGUCACCUUUCACUUCCUGGCCAAAUUUUAUCCUGAGAAUGCUGAGGAGGAGCUGGUUCAGGAGAUCACGCAACAUUUGUUCUUCCUGCAGGUAAAGAAGCAGAUUUUAGAUGAAAAGAUCUACUGCCCUCCCGAGGCUUCUGUGCUCCUGGCUUCUUACGCCGUCCAGGCCAAGUAUGGUGACUAUGACCCCUCUGUUCACAAGCGUGGAUUUUUGGCCCAAGAGGAAUUGCUUCCAAAAAGGGUAAUAAAUCUGUAUCAAAUGACUCCAGAAAUGUGGGAGGAGAGAAUUACAGCCUGGUACGCAGAGCACCGGGGCCGAGCCAGGGAUGAAGCUGAAAUGGAAUAUUUGAAGAUAGCUCAGGACCUGGAGAUGUACGGUGUGAACUACUUUGCAAUCCGGAAUAAAAAGGGCACAGAGUUGCUGCUUGGAGUGGAUGCUCUGGGCCUUCACAUCUAUGACCCUGAGAACAGGCUGACCCCCAAGAUCUCCUUCCCAUGGAAUGAAAUCCGAAACAUCUCGUACAGCGACAAGGAGUUUACUAUUAAACCAUUGGAUAAGAAAAUCGACGUCUUCAAAUUUAACUCCUCAAAGCUUCGUGUUAAUAAGCUGAUUCUCCAGCUCUGUAUCGGGAACCAUGACCUUUUUAUGAGGAGAAGGAAGGCUGAUUCUUUGGAAGUUCAGCAGAUGAAAGCCCAAGCCAGGGAGGAGAAGGCUAGAAAGCAGAUGGAGCGGCAGCGCCUUGCUCGAGAGAAGCAGAUGAGGGAGGAGGCAGAGCGCACAAGGGAUGAGCUGGAGAGGAGGCUGCUGCAGAUGAAAGAAGAAGCAACAAUGGCCAAUGAAGCUCUGAUGCGGUCUGAGGAGACGGCUGACCUGUUGGCAGAAAAGGCCCAAAUCACAGAGGAAGAGGCAAAACUCCUGGCACAGAAGGCCGCAGAGGCUGAACAGGAAAUGCAGCGCAUCAAGGCCACAGCCAUUCGGACAGAGGAAGAGAAGCGCCUGAUGGAGCAGAAGGUGCUGGAGGCCGAGGUGCUGGCGCUGAAGAUGGCUGAGGAGUCAGAGAGGAGGGCCAAGGAGGCAGAUCAGCUGAAGCAGGACCUGCAGGAAGCCCGUGAGGCAGAGCGAAGAGCCAAGCAAAAGCUCCUGGAAAUCACCACCAAGCCCACAUACCCGCCCAUGAACCCAAUUCCAGCACCGUUGCCUCCCGACAUACCAAGCUUCAACCUCAUUGGUGACAGCCUGUCUUUCGACUUCAAGGAUACUGACAUGAAGCGGCUUUCCAUGGAGAUAGAGAAAGAAAAAGUGGAGUACAUGGAGAAGAGCAAGCAUUUGCAGGAGCAGCUCAAUGAACUCAAGACUGAGAUCGAGGCCCUGAAACUCAAAGAGAGGGAGACAGCCUUGGAUAUUCUGCACAAUGAAAACUCUGACCGGGGUGGCAGCAGCAGCAAGCACAAUACCAUCAAAAAGCUGCUGCGGUGAGCUGGGCCCUCAGCCACGGGAACCUGGAGUGCUGAAAGCCGGAGAGACCUGUUUCCAAGCCAUAAAAACAAACAAAUGAAGUCACUUGUCACGAUUUCAGGCCUGUAUGAGCAUUUUGCAAAUGGCACGUGUGGCGUUGUUGAUAUCACAGGCUCACCUUGCAGAGCGCCAAGUCCCGAGUGGCCUUCUUUGAAGAGCUCUAGCAGGUGCCCAGCCACCCCAGGAUCUGUCACAUCUGCUGCUUCCCGGCACCAGAGGGAUGGGUCAGACACCGUGGGAGUCAUCGUAGGUGGGCUGGCUGGGAGCUUCCGUGGGAGCUCUGGACACUUUCCCCAGCUGAGUGGAGAGCCCAACCCCCUUCAUGUGCAAUUGCCUUGAACUGUGACCUGCAGAGAGCUCUCACGUGGGGUUCUAGUUCUUUUUAAAAUUUUUAAAAGAAGUAUUUGUCUUUCCUCAUCUGAUAUGGGGUUUCAUACUUCCUUUGUCAAAGGCACCCUGAGGUGUGUGUCUCACUGUCCAGUGCUGACCUUCCCAGCCCAGGGAAGUGGUCGUAGGGAGUGAAGUGCACAGGAGCCCUGGAGACAGGGAGGCUGGCGCCACUGCCCCCCCCGCCCCUACACUGGGUCCCAGAACAUUCAUCUCCACUGGUGAGGAACUGGCAUGCGAAGAAGUGUGGCCCACCCAAGCCCAAGCCCAGGCCCGGAGCAGCCUGCCUGCCGGCCUGCCUGCUGCACAUCAUCGGUGAGCUGGCCUGUGGCUCAUGACAGGCCACGUGAGGGUCUUCAGCCCAGGUGCCCCUGAGGCUGCGCGCUGGCUGCCGGCUGGUGGGGAAUGGGAAAGGCAGCUGUGACGGGGAAGACUCUAGGCAGAAGCUAUGAUGACGGGCUGGCUGUCAGCAGAGGGGCAGGGAGGCCAGCAGAGCUGUGUGGGAAUCUGCUCCACACAGAACACUCGCUCCCCUUCUUCUGCCUCAGACCAGGGUCCAAGAGGCAGGCGGGAGCUGCGUCUUCCUCACCUCCUCAGCCUUAGUCUUUCCUGCCUGUGGCGGGCUGGGGAACUCCCCGGGCACUUGUAAUCAGCACCUGAGCCUGGCCAGGCUCUGUUAGGGCUCUGAGGCCCCUCAGGUACUUCUUGCUGAGGCCUCCGUAUGUGUGGCUGACCUGAAUCCCCUUUCCCUCUGGCCACGUGCCAGCAAGCCCUUCCUAAGCCUUGAUUGUAUUGGGCCUCCUUCUGGUGUUGCCCUUGUACCCCAGGCGGCCCUUUAUUUUAUCUGCCCCCUUGGGCCAUGUGGGGUCCCUUGUGCCCCUCCCAGCACAAGCCAGGUGUCCGCACCCUGUUGGUGCUCUGCCACUCGGCAGCAGCAGGUCACAGAGCCACCCCCAUGGCACCACCCUCCUUAGUUUGGGGCUACUUUGUUUGCUCUCUGGUUUGGUGGUGCUUCUGUGACCCACUGGCCAUUUAGAUCCUUCCAGUGGGGCUGGUAUACAGAGCAGGAGUUAAGUCGGAACCAGCAAAAAGAGGUUUAUUAAGUGAAGACAUGUGAGGGCCUGGAGAUUUCCUGAGAGUGGGGGUGUCUCUGGCUGUCCUGUGUGGUUUUGAGAAACUCACAAAGAUCCUGCCUUCUUUCCACACUCAGGCUGACCUGACGGUGUGCCAGGUGCCACCCUGCUAUUUGGGGCCAACUUGCCCUGAGGAAGGCAGCCCUGUGGUACCCAAGCCCCUUAGGGCACGCAGGGUGGGAUGGCUGUGGCUGAAAGAGCUUCCUUGUGUCUCCCCGUCCCUCAAAAGCCUCUUCCCCCAAGAUGUGGUCCCAGUGAGGCGUUUGUAACGUAGGGCCUGGCUCUUGUGUUGAGGCUCUGUCUCCCCAGGCUCACCAGCCAUCCCUGAAUUUCCAUGACGAGUUACUUUCCUCCUGACCUGUAAAUUGAAUCUGUAAAAGUGGCUGUGGGCACAGGGGCAUGGUAGUGGUUUCUAUAAAUGUUGUUGGGCUUUGUUGUUUUUAUUAUUUAACUGCUGUGUGUGUGUGUGUGUUCCAAGUCCGGGAACUGCCGAACCAUGUGGCCACAAGGGAGCCAGCUAGCACCUGAGCUGUGUCAGGAGCUCCCUGGGCCCGAGAGCAGACUCGGGGGGGUGGGGGGGACAGCAGAGCCUUGCUCACCCAGGAACACUUCGGCUCUCCUUGGAGGCUGGAGAGGGUGGUGGCCCUCAGAAAGGCCUUGAGCCUCAGUGGAAGGAGGAGGAAUGGAAGGAGCCCAGUUUUCAGGGACUCGUGCCUGUGGCUCGGGUGACCGUGCUCUUUUCAAGUGAACAUCUUGGGGGCACGGGAGCUUUUUAGGUAAGGAAGCCUCUGUGCCCCCGCUGAGAGCAGGGCCCUAGCCACUGCGAUUUCAUUACGGGCACUUCUGAGGGUCCUCGGGCUGCCCAGCUGGUGACACCCUGUGCGGCCGCGCUGUCGGCCCUUCGCUGUCACGCACAGACCGCCUCGUUCAUCCUGACUGGGGCCCUGCCUCAGCCCCAGCCGCGCUCUGACCUGUGGCGUCUGCUCGAUUAUCCAUGUACGUGCCAGGCCACGCUAGACAACACCCCGUGGCAUUACGUAACACUUCUUAAGUGACUGUGUUUUGUAAUCUUGGGGACAGGCUUCUCUCUCCCUCUCUUUUCUCUUACAAAUCAAAACAGCAAAUCCAGAGGCUGACAACCAGGACGGGGGUGGAGUGCUGCUCCCUGACAGGGCUGGGGCUUAUAGCCCCCGGAGGGGCCGCCUCAGUGGGGAGACAGCCCCUCCUGGCUGCCCGGGAGCCAGGUCGGCCCCUUGUGGGCUUCCAGGGAAACUCCAUCCCUUUCCAAGAUGUCAGACCACACUUGUUCCAGUGGGGCCUGAGUCUCGCUUCCUGUCAGGGCCAGCCCGUGGAAGGUUAUUUUCUCUUCCGGGGGAUUGUUGUAAUUUAAAUGAUUGUUUUAAUAAAAAUUCUAAGCUGUCAAAAGUA